RNAcentral lists this long non-coding RNA (406 nucleotides) under Coturnix japonica (Japanese quail). RNAcentral's name for it is "lncRNA (ENSCJPG00005016118.1)". Lineage: Eukaryota; Metazoa; Chordata; Aves; Galliformes; Phasianidae. The record is from RNAcentral.
AGAACCCAGUAGCUCCAUACUAGAUGAAAGCAAAAACCAUCAGAACUCCACACAUACCUGUAUUUAAUAAAGAUGUAGCACCUGAAUUACAUUAGAUGUCUGGAUCUUGUUGAAACCUGCUCCCAAGUCUGCUUUCCUUCAGUAAUCAGUGAGAGACCAGUGGGAAUAAGCAGGAGUGAUAUGCUUCCCUUCCUUCCUCUGGGUGCUUCCACUAGACAGCAAAUCUUCAUUCCACCUAAUCCACAUUUAUAGCAUCUAAAGAACUCUCUCCCAGAAGACAAGAAAAAAAAUACACAAAAACUUCUAUAAGAUGUUUCAGGGUCCACAUCCAGCCCAACAGUCAAGGUAAGUUGCUAAUCAAAUGUCAUGGUUUAAUAAUUUUGUAAUUUUGCUAUCAGUAUUCCAC